AGAUCAUGUUAAAAAGCUGCGGUGAACUGCCACCAGUCUCUUGGAUCGCUUCAUUUGGAAAUAAGAGAAAUGUUUACAUUCUGCACAUGUAAAGACACAAAGCAAGGACUGCACUCAAAAAGUCUCUCUACGAAUAAUACGCCCAGAACACAGUUGGCCUUCCAGGCUGCAAGUGCACACUGCUGGAUCAUGUUCAGCUUCUUGACCACCAGGACCCACAAGUCUUUCUCCACAGGGCUGCUCUCAGGAGAUCUUCCUCCAGUUUGUACAGAUACCUGGGAUUGCUC
RNAcentral lists this long non-coding RNA (287 nucleotides) under Gallus gallus (chicken). Its description in RNAcentral is "lncRNA (ENSGALG00010002272.1)". The record is from RNAcentral. Lineage: Eukaryota; Metazoa; Chordata; Aves; Galliformes; Phasianidae.